GCCCGGUGACUCACGUUCAACGGCCGCGGUAUCCUAACCGUGCAAAGGUAGCGCAAUCAAUUGUCCCAUAAAUCGAGACUAGUAUGAAUGGCUAAACGAGGUCUUAACUGUCUCUUACAGGCAAUCGGUGAAAUUGAUCUCCCUGUACAAAAGCAGGGAUAAACCCAUAAGACGAGAAGACCCUGUGGAACUUUAAAACCAGCAACCACCUUAAAACACAUACUCACCCACCGGGUUUACUGACACAUAAGACUCUGGUUCGCGUUUUUCGGUUGGGGCGACCUUGGAGCAAAACAAAACCUCCAAAAAUUAGACCACACCUCUAGACUGAGAGCAACUUCUCAACGUGCUAAUAGCACCCAGACCCAAUACAAUUGAUCAAUGGACCAAGCUACCCCAGGGAUAACAGCGCAAUCUCCCCCGAGAGUCCGUAUCGACGGGGAGGUUUACGACCU
Molecule: ribosomal RNA, 455 nt
Filed under: Agelaius phoeniceus (red-winged blackbird)
Lineage: Eukaryota; Metazoa; Chordata; Aves; Passeriformes; Icteridae
Description: partial 16S ribosomal RNA
Rfam family: Bacterial large subunit ribosomal RNA
Source: RNAcentral